CCUACGGGUGGCAGCAGUGAGGAAUAUUGGUCAAUGGGCGCGAGCCUGAACCAGCCAAGUAGCGUGAAGGAUGACUGCCCUACGGGUUGUAAACUUCUUUUAUAAAGGAAUAAAGUGAGGCACGUGUGCCUUUUUGUAUGUACUUUAUGAAUAAGGCAUGGCUAACUCCGUGCCAGCAGCCGGGGUAAUACGGAGGAUCCGAGCGUUAUCCGGAUUUAUUGGGUUUAAAGGGAGCGUAGAGGGGUUGUUAAGUCAGGUGUGAAAGUUUGCGGCUCAACCGUAAAAUUGCAAUUGAUACUGGCAGUCUGGAGUGCGGUAGAGGUAGGCGGAAUUCGUGGUGUAGCGGUGAAAUGCUUAGAUAUCACGAAGAACUCCGAUUGCGAAGGCAGCUUACUAAGCUGCCACUGACGUUGAUGCUCGAAAGUGUGGGUAUCAAACAGGAUUAGAUACCCCAGUAGUC
Molecule: ribosomal RNA, 460 nt
Filed under: uncultured bacterium
Lineage: Bacteria
Description: partial 16S ribosomal RNA
Rfam family: Bacterial small subunit ribosomal RNA
Source: RNAcentral